GCAUAUCAAUAAGCGGAGGAAAAGAAACUAACAAGGAUUCCCCUAGUAACUGCGAGUGAAGCGGGAAAAGCUCAAAUUUAAAAUCUGGUGGUCUUUGGCCAUCCGAGUUGUAAUCUAGAGAAGUGUUAUCCGCGCUGGACCGUGUACAAGUCCCCUGGAAUGGGGCGUCAUAGAGGGUGAGAAUCCCGUCUUUGACACGGACUACCAGGGCUUUGUGAUGCACUCUCAAAGAGUCGAGUUGUUUGGGAAUGCAGCUCAAAAUGGGUGGUAAAUUCCAUCUAAAGCUAAAUAUUGGCGAGAGACCGAUAGCGAACAAGUACCGUGAGGGAAAGAUGAAAAGAACUUUGGAAAGAGAGUUAAACAGUACGUGAAAUUGUUGAAAGGGAAACGCUUGAAGUCAGUCGCGUCUGCCAGGGAUCAACCUUACUUUUGUGAGGCGUACUUCCUGGUUGAUGGGUCAGCAUCAGUUUUGGUUGCUGGAUAAAGGUCAGAGAAAUGUGGCACCUUCGGGUGUGUUAUAGUCUUUGAUCAGAUACAGUGGCUGGGACUGAGGAACUCAGCGCCGCAAGGCUGUCUUAGGAUGCUGGCAAAAUGGCUUUAAUCGACCCGUCUUGAAACACGGACC
RNAcentral lists this ribosomal RNA (625 nucleotides) under Pleurotus ostreatus (oyster mushroom). RNAcentral's name for it is "eukaryotic LSU rRNA". It matches the Rfam family "Eukaryotic large subunit ribosomal RNA", at positions 38 to 667 of the family's 3401-position model. The record is from RNAcentral. Lineage: Eukaryota; Fungi; Basidiomycota; Agaricomycetes; Agaricales; Pleurotaceae.